RNAcentral lists this ribosomal RNA (520 nucleotides) under uncultured bacterium. Its description in RNAcentral is "partial 16S ribosomal RNA". The record is from RNAcentral.
CACGGAGUUAGCCGGGGCUUCUUCUCUCGGUACCGUCACUCCCCCAACGUAUUCAGUUGAAGGCCAUUCGUCUCGAUCGAAAGGAGUUUACGACCCGAAGGUCUUCAUCCUCCACGCGGCGUUGCGUCGUCAGGCUUGCGCCCAUUGCGAACAAUUCCCCACUGCUGCCUCCCGUAGGAGUCUGGGCCGCGUCUCAGUCCCAGUGUGUCCGUCCGCCCUCUCAGGCCGGAUACUGAUCGAGGCCUUGGUGAGCCGUUACCCCACCAACUAGCUAAUCAGGCGCGGGCCCCUCGUCAAGCGCCAGGCCUUGCGGUCCCCAGCUUUGAUGUCCAUCCGUUCAAGGACAGCAUGUUAUGCGGUAUUAGCGUUCCUUUCGGAACGUUAUCCCCCACCCGACGGCAGGUCACCCACGUGUUACUCACCCGUUUGCCACUCUACUCACCCCUUGCGGGCUUUCGCGUUCGACUUGCAUGUGUUAGGCACGCCGCCAGCGUUGAUUCUGAGCCAGGAUCAAACUCUC